AAUCUUUCUGCCUCUUUCUUACACAUAUAAUAUAUAUGUAGUUACGUAUGCAUAGGAAUUUUCAUAGAAAAUCAUUAAAUUCUCUCUUAUUAGUCCUCAAAAAGGACUAAGAUGAUGUUUAAUCGGUGGAAUGAGAGGAAAAUUUGAAUGGCAAUUCUAGUAGAAUCUCCAUUCCAUUGUCCGAUUGGAUAAAAAUAUUGUUGGAAUUAGGAUUCUAUUCCCCUCUCCAUUCCACUAUUUUGAUGGAUAAUUUUUUAAACCAAGCUCUUAAAAGUAAUACAAAAACUAAUAAUAAAAACCUUGGUAAAAACCAUUUUGGAUAAAAGAAUGACUCUAUACAGCCUAUACAGUCAUUACAUAUAUAGAGUUAAAUUAUUACAGUGCAGAAGAAGAGUCUGGUAAGAAUCAAUCACUUCCUGUUGUGGGACAUAGAUUAUAGAACCAUCUGCUAGUUUCCAAUCUAUUACCCUAAAAAAAAUAAAAACAAAAUCUGCUAGUUUCCAAUCAUAUUUCCCAAGCAUACUGUCAAGCUGCUAUUAUGGAUAACAUAGUUGCACAAAGGCACUUCUAUAUGUACGAAGUUAUUUUCACAAUUUGAAACACAACUCCACACAGCCCAUCUAAAUUACAUUUACAUCUUAUUCCCUAUUUCACAUUUUGAAACCCUCGUCUCUUUCCUCAAUUACCAACAAUCGACCACCGCAAGCAACCGUCAGUCAUCGAUUUUCGACAAAAUCCGGCAUCGGCCUCCAUCAGUGGACAGCGGUCAUGACUUUUAAUGGGAAGCAAUCUCAUGAAGGGCCUGCAUUUGAGUAGCAGUUAAAAUGGAACACUCAUUUGAGCAAGAUAUGUACAAAGCCUCGGCCUCGAACCUUCACCUGGCCAAGAGGCAAUAAUUAAUGUCGAUCUCAUUGCCGUUGACACCAAUUUGAUACCCAUUGUACAAGCUUGUGUGCUAAAUAGAUCAUUUUUUGGUUGUUGUCGAAAAUGUGUAUUUAAUGUCUUUUCCUAAUCUUAGUUGUUGAAACCGAUUAAAUGUGAUUUGAAAUCUGUACCAGCAUAUAAAUAAAUCAGUUAGAUAUGAUUUGAAAUC
This is a long non-coding RNA of Ziziphus jujuba (common jujube), 1093 nucleotides long. RefSeq lists it as uncharacterized. The record is from RefSeq and is a predicted model, not a curated record. NCBI's taxonomy places the organism in Eukaryota, Viridiplantae, Streptophyta, Magnoliopsida, Rosales, Rhamnaceae. The transcript is spliced from 2 exons.